UUUGAAUCUGGCGGUCUCAGGCCGUCCGAGUUGUAAUCUAGAGAGGUGUUUUCCGUGCCGGACCGUGUACAAGUCCCUUGGAACAGGGCGUCAUAGAGGGUGAGAAUCCCGUCCAUGACACGGACUACCGGUGCUCUGUGAUACACCUUCAAAGAGUCGAGUUGUUUGGGAAUGCAGCUCAAAAUGGGUGGUAAAUUCCAUCUAAAGCUAAAUACAGGCGAGAGACCGAUAGCGAACAAGUACCGUGAGGGAAAGAUGAAAAGAACUUUGGAAAGAGAGUUAAACAGUACGUGAAAUUGUUGAAAGGGAAACGCUUGAAGUCAGUCGCGUCUGCCAGGACUCAGCCUUGCUUCUGCUUGGUGCACUUCUUGGUGGAUGGGCCAGCAUCGAUUUUGAUUGCCGGAAAAGGGCGGGAGGAAUGUGGCAGCUUUUGCUGUGUUAUAGCCUUCUGUCGUACACGGUGGUUGGGAUCGAGGAC
RNAcentral lists this ribosomal RNA (478 nucleotides) under Auricularia polytricha. RNAcentral's name for it is "eukaryotic LSU rRNA". It matches the Rfam family "Eukaryotic large subunit ribosomal RNA", at positions 114 to 593 of the family's 3401-position model. Lineage: Eukaryota; Fungi; Basidiomycota; Agaricomycetes; Auriculariales; Auriculariaceae. The record is from RNAcentral.